GACGAACGCUGGCGGCGUGCUUAACACAUGCAAGUCGAGCGAUGAAGCUCCUUCGGGAGUGGAUUAGCGGCGGACGGGUGAGUAACACGUGGGUAACCUGCCUCAUAGAGGGGAAUAGCCUUUAGAAAGGAAGAUUAAUACCGCAUAAGAUUGUAGCUUCGCAUGAAGCAGCAAUUAAAGGAGUAAUCCGCUAUGAGAUGGACCCGCGUCGCAUUAGCUAGUUGGUGAGGUAACGGCUCACCAAGGCGACGAUGCGUAGCCGACCUGAGAGGGUGAUCGGCCACAUUGGGACUGAGACACGGCCCAGACUCCUACGGGAGGCAGCAGUGGGGAAUAUUGCACAAUGGGGGAAACCCUGAUGCAGCAACGCCGCGUGAGUGAUGACGGUCCUCGGAUUGUAAAGCUCUGUCUUCAGGGACGAUAAUGACGGUACCUGAGGAGGAAGCCACGGCUAACUACGUGCCAGCCGCCGCAGUAA
RNAcentral lists this ribosomal RNA (478 nucleotides) under uncultured bacterium. RNAcentral's name for it is "partial 16S ribosomal RNA". It matches the Rfam family "Bacterial small subunit ribosomal RNA", at positions 28 to 523 of the family's 1533-position model. The record is from RNAcentral.